UAGGGAAUCUUCCACAAUGGACGCAAGUCUGAUGGAGCAACGCCGCGUGAGUGAAGAAGGGUUUCGGCUCGUAAAGCUCUGUUGUUAAAGAAGAACGUGGGUAAGAGUAACUGUUUACCCAGUGACGGUUAUUAACCAGAAAGCCACGGCUAACUACGUCGCCA
RNAcentral lists this ribosomal RNA (164 nucleotides) under uncultured bacterium. Its description in RNAcentral is "partial 16S ribosomal RNA". It matches the Rfam family "Bacterial small subunit ribosomal RNA", at positions 355 to 510 of the family's 1533-position model. The record is from RNAcentral.